UACAGAGACUGCAAGCGUUAUUCGGAUUCACUGGGCGUAAAGGGUGCGCAGGCGGUUGCGUGUGUUGGGUGUGAAAGCCCGGGGCUCAACCCCGGAAUUGCGCCCAAAACUACGCGACUAGAGUACCGGAGAGGAUAGCGGAAUUCACGGUGUAGCAGUGAAAUGCGUAGAUAUCGUGAAGAACACCAGCGGCGAAGGCGGCUAUCUGGAAGGUAACUGACGCUCAGGCACGAAAGCGUGGGGAGCAAAAGGG
Molecule: ribosomal RNA, 253 nt
Filed under: uncultured bacterium
Lineage: Bacteria
Description: partial 16S ribosomal RNA
Rfam family: Bacterial small subunit ribosomal RNA
Source: RNAcentral